ACGGAGGAUGCAAGUGUUAUCCGGAAUCACUGGGCGUAAAGCGUCUGUAGGUGGUCCAAUAAGUCAACUGUUAAAUCUUGAGGCUUAACCUCAAAAUCGCAGUCGAAACUGUUAGACUAGAGUAUAGUAGGGGUAAAGGGAAUUUCCAGUGGAGCGGUGAAAUGCGUAGAUAUUGGAAGGAACACCGAUGGCGAAGGCACUUUACUGGGCUAUUACUAACACUCAGAGACGAAAGCUAGGGUAGCAAAUGGGAUUAGAUACCCCAGUAGUCCUAGCUGUAAACCAUGGAUACUAGAUGUUGAACAGAUCGACCUGUGCAGUAUCAAAGCUAACGCGUUAAGUAUCCCGCCUGGGAAGUAUGCUCGCAAGAGUG
Molecule: ribosomal RNA, 373 nt
Filed under: uncultured bacterium
Lineage: Bacteria
Description: bacterial SSU rRNA
Rfam family: Bacterial small subunit ribosomal RNA
Source: RNAcentral